UGGGGCCAUAGCUCAGUUGGUAGAGCACCUGCAUGGCAUGCAGGGGGUCAGGAGUUCGAGUCUCCUUGGCUCCAU
RNAcentral lists this transfer RNA (75 nucleotides) under cyanobiont of Ornithocercus magnificus. RNAcentral describes it as "tRNA-Ala". It matches the Rfam family "tRNA". Rfam says of the family: Transfer RNA (tRNA) molecules are approximately 80 nucleotides in length. The record is from RNAcentral. Lineage: Bacteria; Bacillati; Cyanobacteriota; Cyanophyceae; Synechococcales.